CCUCUAAUCAGUCCUGGUGUUGCGAUGGUUCCUCCUGCUGCUUCUGCGUCUGGUCGUCGGCGUCGGGGCCGUCACCCCGGGGAUUCGGGCUGCUGUUAUUGCCCGUGUGCGCCAUGCUGGCGGCCGUGGUCCUUCGGAUUUUCCCUCGGCGGCGGCUGAUGCUGGUGCGCGUGGCCGCCCGGCUGUACUUGAUUCAGCAUGUCGUCUUCAGUCUGGUCCUCGCCGGCCGUUUCGUUCUUCCCGGAAUGGUGUUCACCGAUUGGACUCGCGGCAGGAUGCUAAUGCGCCUGUUGAUAGUCGUCGUCGGGAGAUUUCAUUAGGGAAGCAUCCUGUGGAUUUCACCAUUGGUAUUCCUAUUAGUGUGGCCUCUUCUUCGACGGCUGCCGGGUUUGCUCCUGCUGUUUAGUCUGCCAGUGAGCGAGCUGAUACUUGGUCUGUUAAUCAAGUGGUCGACAGACCGUGUGUUUCUUUUCCUGCUGCUGUUCAUCUUUAUGAGUCUUUGGUUGGUGCUACGUCUCUUCGUUGCCGUCCAAGAGUGGUGCCUUAUGUGCCGCUGGUGCCUUCGGUCGGCCCACUCCUCUUGGUAACUUCGAUUCUCUAAAUAUGUAUCUGCUAUUCGUGUUUUUUGUGGUGUUCUUCUAGGAUUGGUUCUAACGUCUGCACGUGGUUGCCAUUUGAGUUAUGCCUACUCCUGUUAUGGAGCAUUCUUGUGUUUUGCGUGCUCGCCGUAAGCGGACGUUGGUGCGAUCAUACUGGUCCGACUGGAAAAGAGUACGUGGGAUGUAGCCUCCGUUUCCUAAGGAUUAUAUCCAUCUGCUUAAGGGUGCGUACAUGUUAUUUAUGGUUUAUCCCGCAUCUUUCUUGAGGUUCAAAGGGGCACAUUGAUGGACAUUGACUUGACAACUACUAUGCUCUUGAAGUCACAAAAGAAAGGUUGUUUACAGCAAGAGAGAAAGCUCAAACAAAACAAUGGCAAUUCAACAUGGCUCGCCAGCAAGUAACUACACAACAGAAUGAAUUUGCAAGACAAACAAUGGCCCUGGCAAAGAUAUGCAACAGUUUUUAUGAUAUACUACCACUCCGCAUGUAUCCCCAACGUCCAACAAGCAGUGACCCCAUAAUUACAUACACAGGCGCACACUCCCCUGUUGGACGUAUGGAAGAAUUUGCAAAGUCACUUUACCAUUUUAUCACAGGCACGAACCCUGCAGGAGGCUACACCAGGAUGAUCUAAUUCACGAACCGCUACUUAUAGCUUUGUUAGCAUGCUUCCGUUUGUACGAGUGGUCCUUUUAGCUUACUUACAUGGUGUGUUUCUGUUUCUGUAAGCAGUUCUCCACGUACGUUGAACUGUAUGCAUUUUAGUUAUUUGUAGUGUGCCACUUUUAAUAUUUACUUACGUAUCCCUAUAUCUA
Molecule: long non-coding RNA, 1415 nt
Organism: Triticum dicoccoides
Lineage: Eukaryota; Viridiplantae; Streptophyta; Magnoliopsida; Poales; Poaceae
Exons: 5
Source: RefSeq, a predicted model, not a curated record